This 498-nucleotide ribosomal RNA is filed under the name uncultured bacterium. RNAcentral describes it as "partial 16S ribosomal RNA". It matches the Rfam family "Bacterial small subunit ribosomal RNA", at positions 29 to 523 of the family's 1533-position model. The record is from RNAcentral.
AUUGAACGCUGGCGGCAUGCCUUACACAUGCAAGUCGAACGGUAACGCGGGGCAACCUGGCGACGAGUGGCGAACGGGUGAGUAAAGCAUCGGAACGUGCCCAGUAGUGGGGGAUAGCCCGGCGAAAGCCGGAUUAAUACCGCAUACGACCUAUGGGUGAAAGGGGGGGAUCGCAAGACCUCUCGCUAUUGGAGCGGCCGAUGUCAGAUUAGGUAGUUGGUGGGGUAAAGGCCUACCAAGCCGACGAUCUGUAGCUGGUCUGAGAGGACGACCAGCCACACUGGGACUGAGACACGGCCCAGACUCCUACGGGAGUCAGCAGUGGGGAAUUUUGGACAAUGGGCGCAAGCCUGAUCCAGCCAUGCCGCGUGCGGGAAGAAGGCCUUCGGGUUGUAAACCGCUUUUGUCAGGGAAGAAAUCCUUUGGGUUAAUACCUCGGGGGGAUGACGGUACCUGAAGAAUAAGCACCGGCUAACUACGUGCCAGCAGCCGCAGUAA